CAGUAGCCGCGGUAAUACGAAGGGUGCAAGCGUUACUCGGAAUUACUGGGCGUAAAGCGUGCGCAGGCGGUGUUGUAAGACUGAUGUGAAAUCCCCGGGCUCAACCUGGGAACUGCAUUGGUGACUGCAACGCUGGAGUGCGGCAGAGGGGGAUGGAAUUCCGCGUGUAGCAGUGAAAUGCGUAGAUAUGCGGAGGAACACCGAUGGCGAAGGCAAUCCCCUGGGCCUGCACUGACGCUCAUGCACGAAAGCGUGGGGAGCAAACAGGAUUAGAUACCCCAGUAGUCCCUGUCUCUUAUAA
RNAcentral lists this ribosomal RNA (301 nucleotides) under uncultured bacterium. RNAcentral's name for it is "partial 16S ribosomal RNA". It matches the Rfam family "Bacterial small subunit ribosomal RNA", at positions 509 to 809 of the family's 1533-position model. The record is from RNAcentral.